Molecule: non-coding RNA, 224 nt
Rfam family: T-box leader
About the family: Uncharged tRNA acts as the effector for transcription antitermination of genes in the T-box leader family. T-boxes are found upstream of many aminoacyl-tRNA synthetase genes and some amino acid biosynthetic genes usually in Gram-positive bacteria. The anticodon of a specific tRNA base pairs to a specifier sequence within the T-box motif, and the NCCA acceptor tail of the tRNA base pairs to a conserved bulge in the T-box antiterminator hairpin.
UACAUUUCUAUGAAUGGAUGAGUAUAAAGCAGAACACUUGUACAAGAGAGCCGGGUGAGGUGAAAGCCGGUCAAGUGUUGCUUUAGAAGAUGGUCCAGGAGAAUUUAUCUUCGAGCCUCAAUGGUAAGGGGAUGACGUUUGCCAGCGUUAGUGGCCUUGAGCCUUGUCUACAUAGAUGAGGGAAUUUUGGGUGGUACCACGUAAGUUAACCUUUCGUCCCGAUU